GACGAACGCUGGCGGCGUGCUUAACACAUGCAAGUCGAACGGAAAGGCCCUGCUUUUGUGGGGUGCUCGAGUGGCGAACGGGUGAGUAACACGUGAGUAACCUGCCCUUUACUUUGGGAUAACUUCAGGAAACUGGGGCUAAUACCGGAUAUUAGCUCCUGCUGCAUGGUGGGGGUUGGAAAGUUUCGGCGGUUGGGGAUGGACUCGCGGCUUAUCAGCUUGUUGGUGGGGUAGUGGCUUACCAAGGCUUUGACGGGUAGCCGGCCUGAGAGGGUGACCGGCCACAUUGGGACUGAGAUACGGCCCAGACUACUACGGGAGGAAGAAGUGGGGAAUAUUGCAGAAUGGGCGGAAGACUGAUGCAGCAACGCCGAGUGCGGGAUGACGGCAUUCGGGUUGUAAACCGCUUUCGCCGGUGAAGAAGCGUGAGUGACGGUAAUGGGUAAAGAAGCACCGGCUAACUACGUG
RNAcentral lists this ribosomal RNA (468 nucleotides) under uncultured bacterium. Its description in RNAcentral is "partial 16S ribosomal RNA". It matches the Rfam family "Bacterial small subunit ribosomal RNA", at positions 28 to 507 of the family's 1533-position model. The record is from RNAcentral.